GUACCUGAAAAAGUCAAAACAAUCAGCAAACAGUUCAAAAGUUUUAAAUCACAAGGAAUUGGUAAACAGUCAACACAGAUGGUCAACUGUGCAAGGCAUAAGACUCAAACACAUGAGUCAAACCUACAAAACAAAGGUUAGCAUAUGAUAAAACAAUCAAGUCCAAACAAGUUUGAAUGAUCUUUGAGGCAUUGGUGCUUAACCUGAAACAGGAACUCAAUUGUAAGCUCAAAAGACCACUAGGACUAGCCUAGGGUCAAGGAUGAAAGAAAAAAG
Molecule: long non-coding RNA, 276 nt
Filed under: Lathyrus oleraceus (garden pea)
Lineage: Eukaryota; Viridiplantae; Streptophyta; Magnoliopsida; Fabales; Fabaceae
Description: Pisum sativum (pea) long non-coding RNA (PSAT_LNC018574)
Source: RNAcentral